RNAcentral lists this small nuclear RNA (178 nucleotides) under Lepisosteus oculatus (spotted gar). RNAcentral describes it as "U1 spliceosomal RNA (ENSLOCG00000019804.1)". The record is from RNAcentral. Lineage: Eukaryota; Metazoa; Chordata; Actinopteri; Semionotiformes; Lepisosteidae.
AUAAUAACCUUAAAUAUUGUACAUAUUUUACCAACACGAGAGAUAUAAUCUGGAGUUAGGCUCAAACAGUGCACUUUGGCUGUGCUGACCCUUGCAAAUUCCACCAGUGUGGGAAUCCUGACUGCACAAUUUCUAAUAGCACAGAACUACCUUAGUGCUCUCCCUUGGUUCAUCUGGC